GGAAGCAGGGGAUCGUAAGGCCUUGCCGCUUUUGGAGCGGCCGAUGUCUGAUUAGCUAGUUGGUGGGGUAAGGGCCUACCAAGGCGACGAUCAGUAGUUGGUCUGAGAGGACGACCAGCCACACUGGGACUGAGACACGGCCCAGACUCCUACGGGAGGCAGCAGUGGGGAAUUUUGGACAAUGGGCGCAAGCCUGAUCCAGCAAUGCCGCGUGAGUGAAGAAGGCCUUCGGGUUGUAAAGCUCUUUCAGUCGAGAAGAAAAGGCUACGGUAAAUAAUCGUAGUUCAUGACGGUACCGACAGAAGAAGCACCGGCUAACUACGUGCCAGCAGCCGCGGUAAUACGUAGGGUGCGAGCGUUAAUCGGAAUUACUGGGCGUAAAGGGUGCGCAGGCGGCUUUGUAAGUCAGAUGUGAAAUCCCCGGGCUUAACCUGGGAAUUGCGUUUGAAACUACAAGGCUAGA
RNAcentral lists this ribosomal RNA (463 nucleotides) under uncultured beta proteobacterium. RNAcentral's name for it is "bacterial SSU rRNA". It matches the Rfam family "Bacterial small subunit ribosomal RNA", at positions 188 to 645 of the family's 1533-position model. Lineage: Bacteria; Pseudomonadati; Pseudomonadota; Betaproteobacteria. The record is from RNAcentral.